AGAACAUACAUCAAAAAGUCUCUAAAAACAGCACUAAUCAAAUUGUCCACUCAUUUUUUCCCUCCCACCCUGAGUGAGCACAAGUGAGGCAUCUCCUAGGGACCCUGAGAAGUACCACAGUAAAAUCCUAGAGGGAACAUAGAGACACUCCUCAUGUCCUGAGAUCAAUCCAAGCUGUCUCAAAGGGAGAAUAACCAUAACGAUUUUCUCCCAUUCCACCCAGGCUUUCCUUCUUGUUUUUGCCCUUUUCAACCUAGUGCACUUGCAAAAUCCAAGCCCAGAGAGGGAGGCCACAAGAGCAGAAGCCUUUCAAGAUUACCCCGAGGCUAGUGGGUGAGUAUCUUCCCCCUGCUCUCUCAGCUGGAGGAGCAGGCAAGAUUGAUUCAACCAAGAUACCCGGCAGCACUGGAAAAACUGAGAUCUCAGCAAAGGCAGGACGGGCUUCUCCAAAGAACAAACUGACACAAAAAGGGCACGUACAUUAAAUUUACACACACACAAAAAAAAUAAU
RNAcentral lists this long non-coding RNA (511 nucleotides) under Taeniopygia guttata (zebra finch). Its description in RNAcentral is "lncRNA (ENSTGUG00000021269.1)". Lineage: Eukaryota; Metazoa; Chordata; Aves; Passeriformes; Estrildidae. The record is from RNAcentral.